GACGAACCACACAAACGUUAUUCGGAAUUACUGGGCUUAAAGGGUGCGUAGGCGGCGCGGAAAGUAGGGUGUGAAAUCCCUCGGCUCAACCGAGGAAUUGCGCCCUAAACUACCGUGCUCGAGGGAGAUAGAGGUGAGCGGAACUUAGGGUGGAGCGGUGAAAUGCGCAGAUAUCAGGAGGAACACCGGUGGCGAAGGCGGGUCUCUGGGCCGAUACUGACGCUGAGGAGCGAAAGCGUGGGGAGCGAACAGG
This 253-nucleotide ribosomal RNA is filed under the name uncultured bacterium. RNAcentral's name for it is "partial 16S ribosomal RNA". It matches the Rfam family "Bacterial small subunit ribosomal RNA", at positions 524 to 776 of the family's 1533-position model. The record is from RNAcentral.